RNAcentral lists this ribosomal RNA (634 nucleotides) under uncultured bacterium. RNAcentral describes it as "bacterial SSU rRNA". It matches the Rfam family "Bacterial small subunit ribosomal RNA", at positions 78 to 708 of the family's 1533-position model. The record is from RNAcentral.
UGCUGUUUCGCUGACGAGUGGCGGACGGGUGAGUAAUGUCUGGGAAACUGCCUGAUGGAGGGGGAUAACUACUGGAAACGGUAGCUAAUACCGCAUAACGUCGCAAGACCAAAGAGGGGGACCUUCGGGCCUCUUGCCAUCGGAUGUGCCCAGAUGGGAUUAGCUAGUAGGUGGGGUAACGGCUCACCUAGGCGACGAUCCCUAGCUGGUCUGAGAGGAUGACCAGCCACACUGGAACUGAGACACGGUCCAGACUCCUACGGGGGGCAGCAGUGGGGAAUAUUGCACAAUGGGCGCAAGCCUGAUGCAGCCAUGCCGCGUGUAUGAAGAAGGCCUUCGGGUUGUAAAGUACUUUCAGCGGGGAGGAAGGGAGUAAAGUUAAUACCUUUGCUCAUUGACGUUACCCGCAGAAGAAGCACCGGCUAACUCCGUGCCAGCAGCCGCGGUAAUACGGAGGGUGCAAGCGUUAAUCGGAAUUACUGGGCGUAAAGCGCACGCAGGCGGUUUGUUAAGUCAGAUGUGAAAUCCCCGGGCUCAACCUGGGAACUGCAUCUGAUACUGGCAAGCUUGAGUCUCGUAGAGGGGGGUAGAAUUCCAGGUGUAGCGGUGAGAUGCGUAGAGAUCUGGAGGAAUA